GACAGAGGGUGCAAGCGUUGUUCGGAAUCACUGGGCGUAAAGCGCGCGUAGGCGGCCAGGCAAGUCGAAUGUGAAAGCCCAGGGCUCAACCCUGGAACUGCAUCCGAAACUGCUUGGCUUGAGUCCCGGAGAGGGUGGUGGAAUUCCCAGUGUAGAGGUGAAAUUCGUAGAUAUUGGGAGGAACACCGGUGGCGAAGGCGACCACCUGGACGGUGACUGACGCUGAGGUGCGAAAGCGUGGGGAGCAAACAGG
This 253-nucleotide unclassified non-coding RNA is filed under the name uncultured Myxococcales bacterium. Its description in RNAcentral is "contains 16S-23S intergenic spacer region". It matches the Rfam family "Bacterial small subunit ribosomal RNA", at positions 524 to 776 of the family's 1533-position model. The record is from RNAcentral. Lineage: Bacteria; Pseudomonadati; Myxococcota; Myxococcia; Myxococcales.